This 253-nucleotide ribosomal RNA is filed under the name uncultured bacterium. Its description in RNAcentral is "partial 16S ribosomal RNA". It matches the Rfam family "Bacterial small subunit ribosomal RNA", at positions 524 to 776 of the family's 1533-position model. The record is from RNAcentral.
GACAGAGGGUGCAAGCGUUGUUCGGAAUUACUGGGCGUAAAGGGCGUGUAGGCGGUGGAGUGUGUCUGACGUGAAAUCCCUCGGCUUAACCGGGGAACUGCAUCGGAAACUACUCUGCUGGAGUGCGAGAGAGGAAGGCGGAAUUCCCAGUGUAGAGGUGAAAUUCGUAGAUACUGGGAGGAACACCGGAGGCGAAGGCGGCCUUCUGGCUCGUAACUGACGCUGAGACGCGAAAGCGUGGGUAGCAAACAGG